AUUGCAGAAUUCAGUGAAUCAUCGAAUCUUUGAACGCACAUUGCGCCCGCCAGUAUUCUGGCGGGCAUGCCUGUUCGA
Molecule: ribosomal RNA, 78 nt
Filed under: Fusarium sambucinum
Lineage: Eukaryota; Fungi; Ascomycota; Sordariomycetes; Hypocreales; Nectriaceae
Description: partial 5.8S ribosomal RNA
Rfam family: 5.8S ribosomal RNA
About the family: 5.8S ribosomal RNA (5.8S rRNA) is a component of the large subunit of the eukaryotic ribosome.
Source: RNAcentral